RNAcentral lists this ribosomal RNA (498 nucleotides) under uncultured bacterium. RNAcentral describes it as "partial 16S ribosomal RNA". It matches the Rfam family "Bacterial small subunit ribosomal RNA", at positions 28 to 505 of the family's 1533-position model. The record is from RNAcentral.
GACGAACGCUGGCGGCGUGCCUAAUACAUGCAAGUCGUGCGGACCUUGUUGAAAGCUUGCUUUUAAAAGGUUCGCGGCGGACGGGUGAGUAACACGUGGGCAACCUGCCUGUAAGACUGGGAUAACGCCGGGAAACCGGGGCUAAUACCAGAUCGUUUUUUCCUCCGCAUGGAGGAAAAAGGAAAGGCGGCUUCGGCUGCCACUUACAGAUGGGCCCGCGGCGCAUUAGCUAGUUGGCGGGGUAAUGGCCCACCAAGGCAACGAUGCGUAGCCGACCUGAGAGGGUGAUCGGCCACAUUGGGACUGAGACACGGCCCAAACUCCUACGGGAGGCAGCAGUAGGGAAUCUUCCGCAAUGGACGAAAGUCUGACGGAGCAACGCCGCGUGAGUGAAGAAGGCCUUCGGGUCGUAAAACUCUGUUGCCGGGGAAGAACAAGUGCCGUUCGAACAGGGCGGCGCCUUGACGGUACCCGGCCAGAAAGCCACGGCUAACUACG